RNAcentral lists this transfer RNA (72 nucleotides) under Equus caballus (horse). It matches the Rfam family "tRNA". Rfam says of the family: Transfer RNA (tRNA) molecules are approximately 80 nucleotides in length. Their secondary structure includes four short double-helical elements and three loops (D, anti-codon, and T loops). The record is from Rfam by way of RNAcentral. Lineage: Eukaryota; Metazoa; Chordata; Mammalia; Perissodactyla; Equidae.
CCCCUGGUGGUCUAAUGGUUAAGAUUUGGCACUCUCACUGCAACGGCAUGGGUUCAUUUCCCAGUCAGAGAA